UACGUAGGGUGCGAGCGUUGUCCGGAAUUAUUGGGCGUAAAGAGCUUGUAGGCGGUUUGUCGCGUCUGCUGUGAAAAUCCGGGGCUCAACCCCGGACUUGCAGUGGGUACGGGCAGACUAGAGUGUGGUAGGGGAGACUGGAAUUCCUGGUGUAGCGGUGAAAUGCGCAGAUAUCAGGAGGAACACCGAUGGCGAAGGCGGUUCUCUGGGCAGUAACUGACGC
Molecule: ribosomal RNA, 223 nt
Filed under: uncultured bacterium
Lineage: Bacteria
Description: partial 16S ribosomal RNA
Rfam family: Bacterial small subunit ribosomal RNA
Source: RNAcentral